UACGUAGGGCGCAAGCGUUAUCCGGAAUUAUUGGGCGUAAAGAGCUCGUAGGCGGUUUGUCGCGUCUGUCGUGAAAGUCCGGGGCUCAACUCCGGAUCUGCGGUGGGUACGGGCAGACUAGAGUGAUGUAGGGGAGACUGGAAUUCCUGGUGUAGCGGUGAAAUGCGCAGAUAUCAGGAGGAACACCGAUGGCGAAGGCAGGUCUCUGGGCAUUAACUGACGCUGAGGAGCUAAAGCAUGGGGAGCGAACAGG
This 253-nucleotide ribosomal RNA is filed under the name uncultured bacterium. RNAcentral's name for it is "partial 16S ribosomal RNA". It matches the Rfam family "Bacterial small subunit ribosomal RNA", at positions 524 to 776 of the family's 1533-position model. The record is from RNAcentral.